GCUAGACGUAGCCAAUCAUAGGUAGUUCUUCAUCAAUAUUCAUUCUUUAGGUCACCUCUGGGCUGUGAAGAAUAGCUAUGGUACUUCAGUAGGUGAAAGAUCAGUCUCAAGAAUAUUCCAUGCAGAUUACAUAGUUCAUAGAAAAAUAAAAAACACGCAAGGGAUCACAAAGGCGAGCUACAUUUUUCCUCAAUAAUGAUCGAGGAGCGCUUGUAUGGACUAAGAAGACGCAUAUAGCUCCGGCCCUAGUCGAGGAGCACGUGAUGGAGAUCUGUAUGGAGAUGUAUACCGCUCCUCUGUCAUGGCCGAAGAGUGUGCAUUGGAGAUCUGCAUAGAGAUGCAUACCGCUCUUUGGUUGUGGCUGAGGAGCGCACGUUGGAGAACCACAUGGAGAUGCAUAUCGCUCCUUGACCGUACAUGGUCGAGGAGCGUGCAAUGAAGAUCCACAUGGGGAUGCAUGCCACUUCUCAAC
This 472-nucleotide long non-coding RNA is filed under the name Elaeis guineensis (African oil palm). RNAcentral describes it as "long non-coding RNA (EGUI_LNC021850)". The record is from RNAcentral. Lineage: Eukaryota; Viridiplantae; Streptophyta; Magnoliopsida; Arecales; Arecaceae.